This 84-nucleotide small nuclear RNA is filed under the name Neogale vison (American mink). RNAcentral describes it as "Neovison vison (American mink) U4 spliceosomal RNA (ENSNVIG00000000540.1)". The stretch from base 1 to 66 matches the Rfam family "U4 spliceosomal RNA". From Rfam's summary of the family: U4 small nuclear RNA (U4 snRNA) is a component of the major U2-dependent spliceosome. The structure of U4 snRNA from yeast and human has been reported. U4 snRNA presents a k-turn RNA motif in the 5p-SL related to recognition of Snu13 protein. Lineage: Eukaryota; Metazoa; Chordata; Mammalia; Carnivora; Mustelidae. The record is from RNAcentral.
AGCUUUGCACAGUGGCAGUAUAGUAGCCAAUGAGGUUUAUCCGAGGCGCAAUUAUUGCUAAUAGAGUAGCAAAACAUUAUUUAU